UUAAUUUGACUCAACACGGGAAAACUUACCAGGUCCAGACAUAGUAAGGAUUGAUAGACUAAGAGCUCUUUCUUGAUUCUAUGGGUGGUGGUGCAUGGUCGUUCUUAGUUGGUGGAGUGAUUUUUCUAGUUAAUUCCAUUUACGAACGAGACAUUAGCCUGCUAACUAGCUACACGGAGGUGAUCCUCCGUGGCUAGCUUCUUAGAGGGACUAUGGCCUUUUAGGCCACGGAAGUUUGAGGCAAUAACAGGUCUAUGAUGCCCUUGGAAAGGGGCC
This 276-nucleotide non-coding RNA is filed under the name Gossypium hirsutum (cotton). RNAcentral describes it as "Eukaryotic small subunit ribosomal RNA". It matches the Rfam family "Eukaryotic small subunit ribosomal RNA", at positions 1190 to 1482 of the family's 1831-position model. The record is from Rfam by way of RNAcentral. Lineage: Eukaryota; Viridiplantae; Streptophyta; Magnoliopsida; Malvales; Malvaceae.